AUUGAACGCUGGCGGCAUGCUUUACACAUGCAAGUCGAACGGCAGCGCGGGCUUCGGCCUGGCGGCGAGUGGCGAACGGGUGAGUAAUGCAUCGGAACGUGCCCAGUAGUGGGGGAUAGCCCGGCGAAAGCCGGAUUAAUACCGCAUACGACCUGAGGGUGAAAGCGGGGGACCGAAAGGCCUCGCGCUAUUGGAGCGGCCGAUGUCGGAUUAGCUAGUUGGUGGGGUAAAGGCUUACCAAGGCGACGAUCCGUAGCUGGUCUGAGAGGACGACCAGCCACACUGGGACUGACACACGGCCCAGACUCCUACGGGAGGCAGCAGUGGGGAAUUUUGGACAAUGGGGGCAACCCUGAUCCAGCCAUGCCGCGUGCGGGAAGAAGGCCUUCGGGUUGUAAACCGCUUUUGUUCGGGAAGAAAUCCUCUGGGCUAAUACCCCGGGGGGAUGACGGUACCGGAAGAAUAAGCACCGGCUAACUACGUG
Molecule: ribosomal RNA, 484 nt
Filed under: uncultured bacterium
Lineage: Bacteria
Description: partial 16S ribosomal RNA
Rfam family: Bacterial small subunit ribosomal RNA
Source: RNAcentral